UUUCCAUGCAGUGGACACACAGAAUGAAAUCCUUUCUUCUCUCUCUUUCCCACACCUGUCCUUGAAGAAUACCCUCGAGCUGAAUGUCUCUUAACUUUGAGCAAGGUUGGAUUCUAAUCUGAACUUUGAGGACAGAAUCUUUUCUCUUCUUGUUUGUUGUGACACAUAAUUUCUUUCUCAUUUGCUGCUCUUUUCUUGGUUAUUUGCAGGACAGAGGAUUCUGAACCUCAAACAGAACUGCAGAUGGAAAUGGACUAUAAGGGCCCAUUUCUCUCUACCCCAUUAGAAGUGCUUGCUGCUUUCCUUCUGUGUCAUGGAGUCACAGAUGUAUGUGCAGAGUCGCCUUUAAACACAGAUGUUGGAUGCUUCAGAAGUGA
RNAcentral lists this long non-coding RNA (377 nucleotides) under Numida meleagris (helmeted guineafowl). RNAcentral's name for it is "lncRNA (ENSNMEG00000018361.1)". Lineage: Eukaryota; Metazoa; Chordata; Aves; Galliformes; Numididae. The record is from RNAcentral.